CUGACAUAACUCUAAUGUGAGAAAUGUCCUUUUGUUCAUUCUUUAUGAAAAAAAUUUAAACACUAGUGCUCUUGUGUGCACUCUCCUGAAAGAUCUGUACAGAACCAAGCACUUGUUUAUACGUAUUAGUCUGUUGGAGAUAAUUACCAAAUAGGUUGAUUGUCCUAGUCUCAGACUGAAUGACUUUCUCUUUGCCCUAGUCACAAGGAAUUAAUAAACCUAGAUAGGAAUGUAUUUCCAUUCUCUCAGCUUACAAAUUUAAGUGGUUUAUGUCAGCGUUGACCCAAUUUAAGCCCAGUAAUGUCAGUUCUCCUUAUCUGAGCUCAAAUAGGAAUUAAGAAAUAUCCCGAAUGUUGAUGCUUAUCCAAGCAUUUGGGGGUGGGGGUGGGAGGGAAUUGAUGUCCAGGAAUGGGGGCUAGAGUAAGGAAUAUUUUUUUUUUGAGUCUGCCCCAAAUACUGUGCUUUAUUGUGAGUGUUGUAACAUUUGAAAAACUUGUGCCAUAACUCUUUGGGACUUGGUGUUAAAAGAGCCAGUGGUCUUUCUUGGGUAGUGUACUAUAGUGAUUUCCUGUGACCCACCGCCCUGUGGGUCUGCAUCCUUUGCAAUAACACAACCUCAGAAGUAACAGUGAAAUACUCCACAAAGUAGAUGUCUUUCUGUUGGCACUCCUAUUUAAAUACAGAAUCGGGCAGGGAGCAUGUUCUUUGUUCUAUACGAAAUCUAGCUGUGGGUAUUCAUAUUUUAAUUGUUGAAUGACUUACAUGUUCUUGAUGACUAAACUCAAACAUGUCUUUUUCCCAUAUCAGUGUUGCUGAUGGUUUUAAUGAAUAUCAAAAUUCUCCUGUUGUUUCUGUGAGCUGCUAGGGGCAUUAGCUUCAGAGUGGCCAGAGAAGACAUCAUCUCCAUGACCUAACUGUAUUUUACCCGCUUUUCUUUCCCUAUUCUCCUGCCUUACCCCCAGCCUUCUCUGGCUGCUUCUGCACAUACCCUGAACACAUUGUGCCUGUUUUCUAUGAUUGUGGAGAGUGAGUGAACAAGUUAAGUAUGUAGCACAGUUUUCCUUCUGGUAUUGGUCACAGUUAUAUUAGUGUCUAUCUACAUCUGUAUUCUAACAAUAUUCUGUAAUUAAAAGUAAAAUUUUU
This 1143-nucleotide long non-coding RNA is filed under the name Bos taurus (domestic cattle). Its description in RNAcentral is "long non-coding RNA NONBTAT011986". The record is from RNAcentral. Lineage: Eukaryota; Metazoa; Chordata; Mammalia; Artiodactyla; Bovidae.